AUUGAACGCUGGCGGCAUGCUUUACACAUGCAAGUCGAACGGCAGCGCGGGCUUCGGCCUGGCGGCGAAUGGCGAACGGGUGAGUAAUGCAUCGGAACGUGCCCCGUAGUGGGGGAUAGCCCGGCGAAAGCCGGAUUAAUACCGCAUACGACCUGCGGGUGAAAGCGGGGGGCCGAAAGGCCUCGCGCUAUUGGAGCGGCCGAUGUCGGAUUAGCUGGUUGGUGGGGUAAGGGCUUACCAAGGCGACGAUCCGUAGCUGGUCUGAGAGGACGACCAGCCACACUGGGACUGGGACACGGCCCAGACUCCUACGGGAGGCAGCAGUGGGGAAUUUUGGACAAUGGGGGCAACCCUGGUCCAGCCAGGCCGCGUGCGGGAAGAAGGCCUUCGGGUUGUAAACCGCUUUUGUUCGGGAAGAAAUCCUCUGGGCUAAUACCCCGGGGGGAUGACGGUACCGGAAGAAUAAGCACCGGCUAACUACGUG
This 484-nucleotide ribosomal RNA is filed under the name uncultured bacterium. RNAcentral describes it as "partial 16S ribosomal RNA". It matches the Rfam family "Bacterial small subunit ribosomal RNA", at positions 28 to 507 of the family's 1533-position model. The record is from RNAcentral.